UCUGACAGAGUUGCUGUCACUGGAACAGACCACAAAGCAGGAAAACCAUAUGCCAGGAUGUGCCAAGAGCUCAUGAUAGGCCAUUGACGGAUGUGCCUACAUAAACAAGCAAGGAAACGAGCCAACCGGCGUGCCAAUGAUUCAGCCUGUCGAAGGGAAUGGCCGCCACCAUGUCUAUAAGGAACCAGCCUUUGAAGUAGUGGAUGGCGAUCUUCCCCGGAUGGCUCACCACCUCCUCGUUCAAGUUCACGAAGGCAGCAGAAUAAGGGGUUAAAAUGGCUGUAUAAAUAACCAGCAGCAGGAUGAGCCAAUCCCACAUCGCUUUGAAUGGGCUGUAGUGCAGGAUGGUGAACUUAUCCAUGCGUGGCGUCUGGAGCUUGUAUUCUGGCAGCACAUCGGCGCCCAGAGACAAGACCUGGAACAGGAGAGGCAGACAAAACUUUUGUUCAUAGUUUUUGAAGACAUAACACACUAUCUGUUCAUGUUGACAUCUGUCAAAUACAGUUUGAGUGGACAUGUGAACUUUGACAUCAGUGACACAAGGCUCUCACACGUCCAGGCAGGUCGGAGAAGGCAAUGUGCGAAUCACUCAGAUGUGACAAGCCAAAAGUCCGCAGUGAACGAGUCAACUUCUGAAGUGAGGACUUAUGUCCUUUGGAUGGGCUGUCAUCGACUUCCUUCACGGCUGGCCAAAAGGCGGACGCAUUUACAACAAGACGUUUGGAGUUCGUACUCAGCCCUUCAAUGUCGUGAACGGAGGAGGCCCGUCUCCGGCUGCACAUGCUGUCUCUAGAGAUGGACUGGGCCAGGCAGGUGGUGGACUGUGCUUGGGAAGGACUGGGCCGAUCCCAGGGCUGCUUGGGCGACGAG
Molecule: long non-coding RNA, 870 nt
Organism: Ctenopharyngodon idella (grass carp)
Lineage: Eukaryota; Metazoa; Chordata; Actinopteri; Cypriniformes; Xenocyprididae
Exons: 6
Source: RefSeq, a predicted model, not a curated record